UACAGAGGUCCCAAGCGUUGUUCGGAUUCACUGGGCGUAAAGGGUGCGUAGGUGACCGGUUAAGUCUGACGUGAAAUCUCCGAGCCUAACUCGGAAACUGCAUCGGAAACUAUCCGGCUCGAGGGUUGGAGGGGGGACUGGAAUACUUGGUGUAGCAGUGAAAUGCGUAGAUAUCAAGUGGAACACCAGUGGCGAAGGCGAGUCCCUGGACAACUCCUGACACUGAGGCACGAAAGCUAGGGGAGCAAACAGG
Molecule: ribosomal RNA, 253 nt
Filed under: uncultured bacterium
Lineage: Bacteria
Description: partial 16S ribosomal RNA
Rfam family: Bacterial small subunit ribosomal RNA
Source: RNAcentral